Molecule: long non-coding RNA, 1146 nt
Organism: Engraulis encrasicolus (European anchovy)
Lineage: Eukaryota; Metazoa; Chordata; Actinopteri; Clupeiformes; Engraulidae
Exons: 2
Source: RefSeq, a predicted model, not a curated record
CACAGCAGAGGACUCCGAUGCGGAGCCGCGUUCAAGUCACCACAUCCGUGUCACUGUCACAUUCCUUUGGGUUCCACUUGGUGGAUCAGGGUCGCCACCGUGCGCCGCCCCAAAUUCUACUGUCAAAACGCGGACCAUAAUCGCAUCCAUAUCUGAUUCACAAACGCGGACGCGCUGUAAAAUCUAACGGACGUUGGUACAGUUUUUGUUGGGGCAGACACGACCGAACAGCGCUCUCCAUAAACAGGUGGAAUUACCUCUGGGUCGGACAGGGCUAGCCAGCUGUAAUCCACCCUGCUACAGUGAUGCCCGCCUGCCUCCCGGCUUUUACGACGAAGAGUAAGUAGGACAUUGUACAUCUUAUAAUAUUCAACAUCAUUACUGUCACGGGAUAGAGAUGUGAAAGAGCGUUGUCCAUUCCAUAUGCAAUGCAAUGUCUGAUUGUCAUCUUACGAAAUUUAAAUGAAAGCUCUAAGUUUAGCUCUGUUGCCUUUUCAGAUCGGAGCGCUGAUGUGAUGUUUCCCCGUCGACUGAUGAGGGAAGGAAGAGAAGGCAGCCACGACACGCGAUUGUUCAACAUGACAGUGAGACAGAAAAAUAAUGUCAAGAUAAAUAAAAAAUCAUGAUGAGUGAAGUUCUUCGUCAGGUUGUGUUUUUUUCGGGAUCUUAUUUAAACGGUGUCUAGGCCAGGUCUGUGUUAUCUGUAGAAUUAAAUCUAAAUGCUGUUUGUAACGGUUAACUGGUUUAGUGUUCGUUUAUUGGGAUUAUAGCAUAAUAAGAAAGUAACUUUAUGAGCACGGAUCCAAAAUGGUCCCGGCCCGGAACAUCUAUGAGUCCGGAAUGGGUCCGUAACUGAUAAAAAGUAGUGGAACCGUGACGGAUGCAAUAAGUGGACACGUAAUGAGUCCGCAUCGGAUGUCGAGCCUCCGAACCGGGCUCACUGCGGAGGUACGCUUCUGCACGCGGAUCCGUUGCGGGUGACAAACGGGUCCCUUUUGACUCCGCACCACGCCUCCGCGUCGGAUGAUAGGCGGCGUGCAAGUGGACGCCGAUACGGCCCCGUUUACCGGAUCCGUUCCGGAGGAUGGCCUCCGGAUGGUGGACUCCGGGGCGGAUCCAUUACGGUGUACUUUUGCUGUGUGGGUU